GAUGAACGCUGGCGGCGUGCCUAAUACAUGCAAGUCGAGCGAACGGACGAGAAGCUUGCUUUUCUGAUGUUAGCGGCGGACGGGUGAGUAACACGUGGAUAACCUACCUAUAAGACUGGGAUAACUUCGGGAAACCGGAGCUAAUACCGGAUAAUAUUUUGAACCGCAUGGUUCAAAAGUGAAAGACGGUCUUGCUGUCACUUAUAGAUGGAUCCCCGCUGCAUUAGCUAGUUGGUAAGGUAACGGCUUACCAAGGCAACGAUGCAUAGCCGACGUGAGAGGGGGGUCGGCGACCCGGGAAGGGGAACACGGUCAAGAGUACUACGGGAGGGAGCAGUCGGGAAUCUUCCGCAGUGGGCGAGAACCUGGCGGAACAACGGCACGUGAGUGGUAGAGGUGUCCGGAUCGUAAAACUGUGUUAUUAGGGAAAAACAGAUGUGUAAGUAACUGAGCAGAUCGUGACGGUACCUAGUCAGAAAGCAACGGCUAACUACGUG
Molecule: ribosomal RNA, 497 nt
Filed under: uncultured bacterium
Lineage: Bacteria
Description: partial 16S ribosomal RNA
Rfam family: Bacterial small subunit ribosomal RNA
Source: RNAcentral